This 1553-nucleotide ribosomal RNA is filed under the name metagenome. RNAcentral's name for it is "bacterial LSU rRNA". It matches the Rfam family "Bacterial large subunit ribosomal RNA", at positions 1364 to 2925 of the family's 2925-position model. The record is from RNAcentral.
GCUCGUCCUCCCAGGGUUAGUCGGGACCUAAGCUGAGGCCGAUAGGCGUAGGCGAUGGACAACAGGUUGAUAUUCCUGUACCAGUUGCUUUUGUUUGAGCGAUGGAGGGACGCAGGAGGCUAAGGAGUGCACACGAUCGGAAAUGUGUGUCCAAGCAGCAAGUCUGAGAACGAGUGCAAUGCUUUUUCUCUCAAGGACAAGUUGUGAUGGGGAGCGAAAUUUAGUAGCGAAGUUCCUGAUGUCACACUGCCAAGAAAAGCUUCUAGUGAGAAAGUAACUGCCCGUACCGCAAACCGACACAGGUAGUUGAGGAGAGAAUCCUAAGGUGUGCGAGAGAACUCUCGUUAAGGAACUCGGCAAAGUGACCCCGUAACUUCGGGAGAAGGGGUGCUAACCGCAAGGUCAGCCGCAGUGAAUAGGCCCAAGCGACUGUUUAUCAAAAACACAGGUCUCUGCAAAAUCGAAAGAUGACGUAUAGGGGCUGACGCCUGCCCGGUGCUGGAAGGUUAAGAGGAGAGGUUAGCGCAAGCGAAGCUUUGAAUUGAAGCCCCAGUAAACGGCGGCCGUAACAAUAACGGUCCUAAGGUAGCGAAAUUCCUUGUCGGGUAAGUUCCGACCCGCACGAAAGGCGUAACGAUUUGGGCACUGUCUCAACGAGAGACUCGGUGAAAUUAUAGUACCAGUGAAGAUGCUGGUUACCCGCGACAGGACGGAAAGACCCCAUGGAGCUUUACUGCAGUUUGAUAUUGAGUGUUUGUAUCACAUGUACAGGAUAGGUAGGAGCCGAAGAUACCGGGACGCCAGUCUCGGAGGAGGCAACGGUGGGAUACUACCCUUGUGAUAUGACCACUCUAACCCGCUGCUCUUAGCGAGCAGGGAGACAGUGUCAGACGGGCAGUUUGACUGGGGCGGUCGCCUCCAAAAAUGUAACGGAGGCGCCCAAAGGUUCCCUCAGAAUGGUUGGAAAUCAUUCGUAGAGUGUAAAGGCAGAAGGGAGCUUGACUGCGAGACCUACAGUCGAGCAGGGACGAAAGUCGGGCUUAGUGAUCCGGUGGUUCCGCAUGGAAGGGCCAUCGCUCAACGGAUAAAAGCUACCCUGGGGAUAACAGGCUUAUCUCCCCCAAGAGUUCACAUCGACGGGGAGGUUUGGCACCUCGAUGUCGGCUCAUCGCAUCCUGGGGCUGUAGUUGGUCCCAAGGGUUGGGCUGUUCGCCCAUUAAGGCGGUACGCGAGCUGGGUUCAGAACGUCGUGAGACAGUUCGGUCCCUAUCCGUCGCGGGCGUUGGAAAUUUGAGAGGAGCUGUCCUUAGUACGAGAGGACCGGGAUGGACACACCGCUGGUGUACCAGUUGUUCUGCCAAGAGCAUCGCUGGGUAGCUAUGUGUGGACGGGAUAAACGCUGAAAGCAUCUAAGCGUGAAACCCCCCUCAAGAUGAGAUUUCCCAUCACUUUAAGUGAGUAAGACCCCUGAGAGAUGAUCAGGUAGAUAGGUUGGGAGUGGAAGUACAGCGAUGUAAGGAGCGGACCAAUACUAAUCGGUCGAGGACUUAACC